UUUUUACUUAUAUUUUUGAAUUAUUUCGUUAACUACCUCAACUUUUAGUUGAUAUGUAAUGUUAUCUCAUCAUAAUAUUGCAUUAGUUUAGAGAAAUUCCCAAUACAGAUUGGUUUGAAUGCACUCAUCAAAUUUUCUAUACCUUGAUCUUCCUUGCACCUUCUAAAUUGAACCGCCCAUAGUAUUUGUUUGAAUUCAAUGAUUUGCAAGUUUGAUGGCUUAGUAAUCAGACUGCAAGUGUAUGCCAUUUUCUUAAUAAGAUUUUGGUUGGGUUGUGUCAUCCAACUAGUAAUACUGAGAGGGAGUAAUAUUAUAGCUUUUGAAAAUACAAAAAACCAAGUGAAAAUUUCAAAGAAUCUUAACAGAGUCCUAUUACAAAAAGAAGAAAAGGCAUAUAAAAGGAGAAUAAUGUUUCCUCCUAAAAUGAAUAAAACAAAAAUGAGAUAAAUCUGUUGAAUAUUCAACUGAAUGCCUGACUAAACAACUCCUCUAAAAGCUCAUCACAUGACCAAAGGAAAACCAAUAAAAAUAAAAAUGUCUAGAGUAACUGCACAUGCACAGACUGGUUGAUGCAGUAUUAGAAGAUACAAUUUAGAAAUUACGUUCCAUGUAAAAUUAGUAAUAGAAGAUUUCAAUUAUUUAGGAAUAUUUAUAGAGU
RNAcentral lists this unclassified non-coding RNA (658 nucleotides) under Hevea brasiliensis (rubber tree). Lineage: Eukaryota; Viridiplantae; Streptophyta; Magnoliopsida; Malpighiales; Euphorbiaceae. The record is from RNAcentral.